Molecule: non-coding RNA, 95 nt
Filed under: Alteracholeplasma palmae J233
Lineage: Bacteria; Bacillati; Mycoplasmatota; Mollicutes; Acholeplasmatales; Acholeplasmataceae
Also listed under: 1 other name
Description: Acholeplasma palmae J233 THF (Tetrahydrofolate) riboswitch aptamer
Rfam family: THF (Tetrahydrofolate) riboswitch aptamer
About the family: THF riboswitch presents a pseudoknot that joins P1-P2 and the loop of P3 and two THF binding.
Source: Rfam by way of RNAcentral
UACAGAGUAAUAGUAAAGCGUUAAGUGCCUAAUCAUGGGAUGUUUGAUUAGGACGAACACAUAAUAUGUGGCGGUUUUUCUAUUUGUCCGCUGUA